CAUAUAAUACAGCCUUACCUACCCCAGUGGACGGCCUCCUUCUACUUCAUUGGUCAUCACCUACCAUUUUAUACUUUACUUACCAAGCACUGUUAUUGACCAGAUCAAAUUAUUAGGUGAGACGAUCUGCAGCAUCACUGAACCCAUCACCAACAACCCUAUAGCUCCAAACCCCAAUUGGAUUAAUUUAUACUGAGGUCUUGCAGGACGGAUCUGGUGAUUCAAAGUAACAGUACCCUCUGUGUUUUUUCUUCUUUCUUUUCCGGAGUUCAUCCAAUUUAACAGGUCGGGUUAGGGUCUGUAAGCUUGAAAGAGAUCAUAGGUUUAGAAGAUUAGGAAGUGAUCGAUCUUACAGUGGUUGAUUUUUAGAGGUUUUCCGGCCUUGAUAAACAAAUUUGUUUCCCAUAUAAUCUAUGAUUAGUUUGAACAUUUCUGCUUACAAAAGUUGGUUUAAAC
This 456-nucleotide long non-coding RNA is filed under the name Populus trichocarpa (black cottonwood). Its description in RNAcentral is "long non-coding RNA (PTRI_LNC001446)". Lineage: Eukaryota; Viridiplantae; Streptophyta; Magnoliopsida; Malpighiales; Salicaceae. The record is from RNAcentral.